This 74-nucleotide transfer RNA is filed under the name Corchorus olitorius. It matches the Rfam family "tRNA". Rfam says of the family: Transfer RNA (tRNA) molecules are approximately 80 nucleotides in length. Their secondary structure includes four short double-helical elements and three loops (D, anti-codon, and T loops). The record is from Rfam by way of RNAcentral. Lineage: Eukaryota; Viridiplantae; Streptophyta; Magnoliopsida; Malvales; Malvaceae.
GGUGAGAUAGCUCAACAGGUUAGAGCACUGCACUCAUAAUGCAGAGGUUGAGGGUUCGACUCCCUCUCUCACUA